This 253-nucleotide ribosomal RNA is filed under the name uncultured bacterium. Its description in RNAcentral is "partial 16S ribosomal RNA". It matches the Rfam family "Bacterial small subunit ribosomal RNA", at positions 524 to 776 of the family's 1533-position model. The record is from RNAcentral.
UACGUAUGGGGCAAGCGUUAUCCGGAUUUACUGGGUGUAAAGGGAGCGUAGGCGGCAGGGCAAGCCUGAUGUGAAAGCCCGGGGCUCAACCCCGGGACUGCAUUGGGAACUGCCCUGCUGGAGUGCCGGAGGGGCAGGCGGAAUUCCUAGUGUAGCGGUGAAAUGCGUAGAUAUUAGGAGGAACACCAGUGGCGAAGGCGGCCUGCUGGACGGUGACUGACGCUGAGGCUCGAAAGCGUGGGGAGCAAACAGG